Molecule: ribosomal RNA, 483 nt
Filed under: Enterococcus durans
Lineage: Bacteria; Bacillati; Bacillota; Bacilli; Lactobacillales; Enterococcaceae
Description: bacterial SSU rRNA
Rfam family: Bacterial small subunit ribosomal RNA
Source: RNAcentral
UGCAAGUCGUACGCUUCUUUUUCCACCGGAGCUUGCUCCACCGGAAAAAGAGGAGUGGCGAACGGGUGAGUAACACGUGGGUAACCUGCCCAUCAGAAGGGGAUAACACUUGGAAACAGGUGCUAAUACCGUAUAACAAUCGAAACCGCAUGGUUUUGAUUUGAAAGGCGCUUUCGGGUGUCGCUGAUGGAUGGACCCGCGGUGCAUUAGCUAGUUGGUGAGGUAACGGCUCACCAAGGCCACGAUGCAUAGCCGACCUGAGAGGGUGAUCGGCCACAUUGGGACUGAGACACGGCCCAAACUCCUACGGGAGGCAGCAGUAGGGAAUCUUCGGCAAUGGACGAAAGUCUGACCGAGCAACGCCGCGUGAGUGAAGAAGGUUUUCGGAUCGUAAAACUCUGUUGUUAGAGAAGAACAAGGAUGAGAGUAACUGUUCAUCCCUUGACGGUAUCUAACCAGAAAGCCACGGCUAACUACGUGCCA